UUUUCCUACGGGGGGCAGCAGUGGGGAAUAUUGGGCAAUGGGCGCAAGCCUGACCCAGCAACGCCGCGUGAAGGAAGAAGGCUUUCGGGUUGUAAACUUCUUUUCUCAGGGACGAAGAAAGUGACGGUACCUGAGGAAUAAGCCACGGCUAACUACGUGCCAGCAGCCGCGGUAAUACGUAGGUGGCAAGCGUUAUCCGGAUUUACUGGGUGUAAAGGGCGUGUAGGCGGGAAAGCAAGUCAGAUGUGAAAACCACGGGCUCAACCUGUGGCCUGCAUUUGAAACUGUUUUUCUUGAGUACUGGG
RNAcentral lists this ribosomal RNA (305 nucleotides) under uncultured bacterium. RNAcentral's name for it is "bacterial SSU rRNA". It matches the Rfam family "Bacterial small subunit ribosomal RNA", at positions 334 to 653 of the family's 1533-position model. The record is from RNAcentral.